GACGAACGCUGGCGGCGUGCUUAACACAUGCAAGUCGAACGGAAAGGCCCCUUCGGGGGGGCUCGAGGGGCGGACAGGCGAGUAAAACGUGAGUAAACUGCCCCUGAGUUCGGGAUAACUUCCGGAAACAGGGGCGAAUAACGGAGAGGAAACCUUUCCGCAUGGGGGGGGGGGGAAAGCUUCCGGGGGUUUGGAUGGACUCGCGGCUUAUCAGCUUGUUGGUGGGGGAGUGGGUUACCAAGGCUUUGACGGGUAGCCGGCCUGAGAGGGCGACCGGCCACAUUGGGACUGAGAUACGGCCCCGACUCCUACGGGAGGCAGCAGUGGGGAAUAUUGCACAAUGGGCGGAAGCCUGAUGCAGCAACGCCGCGUGCGGGAUGACGGCCUUCGGGUUGUAAACCGCUUUCAGCAGGGGCGAAGCUUGUGGUGACGGUACCUGCAGAAGAAGCACCGGCUAACUACGUG
This 465-nucleotide ribosomal RNA is filed under the name uncultured bacterium. RNAcentral describes it as "partial 16S ribosomal RNA". It matches the Rfam family "Bacterial small subunit ribosomal RNA", at positions 28 to 507 of the family's 1533-position model. The record is from RNAcentral.